Molecule: unclassified non-coding RNA, 213 nt
Filed under: Hevea brasiliensis (rubber tree)
Lineage: Eukaryota; Viridiplantae; Streptophyta; Magnoliopsida; Malpighiales; Euphorbiaceae
Source: RNAcentral
GCCUAGAGAAUCUGUCAAAUUUUGAGUACCAACUCAAAAAGUUUUGCAUACUCAUAAGCAAGGAUUAGACACUGCAUAUCAGUGACCACAAAACUGAUCUCAUGCAUGUACUAGAUUGCGAAUAAUGGGAAAGUUAAUAGCCAAGCACUACUAAAGACACAAGAUCAUAAAAAAAGCAAACUACUAUCACAAUCACACACAAGAUCAAUAAAA